GUGACCCUACGGGGCGCAGCAGUAGGGAAUCUUCCACAAUGGACGAAAGUCUGAUGGAGCAACGCCGCGUGAGUGAAGAAGGGUUUCGGCUCGUAAAGCUCUGUUGGUAGUGAAGAAAGAUAGAGUAGUAACUGGCCUUUAUUUGACGGUAAUUACUUAGAAAGUCACGGCUAACUACGUGCCAGCAGCCGCGGUAAUACGUAGGUGGCAAGCGCUGUCCGGAUUUAUUGGGCGUAAAGCGAGUGCCGGCGGGUCAAUAAAGCUGAUGUGAAAGCCUUCGGCUCCAACGGAGAAUUGCAUCAGGA
RNAcentral lists this ribosomal RNA (305 nucleotides) under uncultured bacterium. Its description in RNAcentral is "bacterial SSU rRNA". It matches the Rfam family "Bacterial small subunit ribosomal RNA", at positions 333 to 631 of the family's 1533-position model. The record is from RNAcentral.